CAUGCAAGUCGAACGAGAGAUGAGGAGCUUGCUCUUCAAAUCGAGUGGCGAACGGGUGAGUAACGCGUGAGGAACCUGCCUCAAAGAGGGGGACAACAGUUGGAAACGACUGCUAAUACCGCAUAAGCCCACGGCUCGGCAUCGAGCAGAGGGAAAAGGAGCAAUCCGCUUUGAGAUGGCCUCGCGUCCGAUUAGCUAGUUGGUGAGGUAACGGCCCACCAAGGCGACGAUCGGUAGCCGGACUGAGAGGUUGAACGGCCACAUUGGGACUGAGACACGGCCCAGACUCCUACGGGAGGCAGCAGUGGGGAAUAUUGCACAAUGGGGGAAACCCUGAUGCAGCGACGCCGCGUGGAGGAAGAAGGUCUUCGGAUUGUAAACUCCUGUUGUUGAGGAAGAUAAUGACGGUACUCAACAAGGAAGUGACGGCUAACUACGUGCCAGCAGCCGCGGUAAAACGUAGGUCACAAGCGUUGUCCGGAAUUACUGGGUGUAAAGGGAGCGCAGGCGGGAGAACAAGUUGGAAGUGAAAUCCAUGGGCUUAACCCAUGAACUGCUUUCAAAACUGUUUUUCUUGAGUAGUGCAGAGGUAGGCGGAAUUCCCGGUGUAGCGGUGGAAUGCGUAGAUAUCGGGAGGAACACCAGUGGCGAAGGCGGCCUACUGGGCACCAACUGACGCUGAGGCUCGAAAGUGUGGGUAGCAAACAGGAUUAGAUACCCUGGUAGUCCACACCGUAAACGAUGAUUACUAGGUGUUGGAGGAUUGACCCCUUCAGUGCCGCAGUUAACACAAUAAGUAAUCCACCUGGGGAGUACGACCGCAAGGUUGAAACUCAAAGGAAUUGACGGGGGCCCGCACAAGCAGUGGAGUAUGUGGUUUAAUUCGACGCAACGCGAA
RNAcentral lists this ribosomal RNA (898 nucleotides) under uncultured bacterium. Its description in RNAcentral is "bacterial SSU rRNA". It matches the Rfam family "Bacterial small subunit ribosomal RNA", at positions 54 to 965 of the family's 1533-position model. The record is from RNAcentral.